AGCAAGGAAGCAUUCAAGAAGAUUCAAUCGUGCCAUUGUACAAGGCUGAGUUUUGGUCAUGCAACUGGAUUCCAAUUGACCCCGUGAAAGCAAAAUUACUGUGUUUUGAUGGUACGGGUUGGCUCACAAAAGCCUUCUUGUUCCACCUCCCUGACCAUCUCUGUCAACAACAAAACACACACCCCAACGCAACACUCUGCUGGUUGUCUGAGACAACGAGCGAAGUAGCAGAACUGCAAGCAACACACAUCACUCUUUUGUCUAUUAAGAACAAUGGGAGCAGAUUUUAAGAUAAUGAAGUAUAUUUGCUACACAUACUUUGCUUCCCAGAAGACUUGCCUGGGUGUACGUUCUCAGCUUUUCCUAUUACAUUCCUUUUACAGUAUGAUUUCAACAACCACUCAAAAUGUGGAGCUUUGGAUUGUAUAGACCAGGGUUUGGAAAAUCUCGUAAAAUUACCCAAUCUGCUGCUUCAGGACAGCUAACAUCAAAAACGUCAUCAAAAAAGGACAACAAAGAAUGUUCUUUCUGCGCCAACUCAGAAAGCUCAAACUGCCCAAGGAGCUGCUGAUCCAGUUCUACAGAGGAAUUAUUGAGUCUGUCAUCUGCACCUCCAUAACUGUCUGGUUUGGCUCUGCAACUCAAACAAGACAGACACAGACUUCAGAGGAUAAUUAGAACUGCAGGGGAAAAAACAAUUGUUACCAACCUGCCUUCCGUUAAGGAUCUGUCUACUGCAUGAGUCAAAAAGAGGGCUGUGAAAAUAUCUACAGACCCCUCACACCCUGGACAUAAAUUCUUUCAACGUCUACCCUCAAAACGACUAUAGGGUACUGAGCACCAGAACAAUUACACAGAAGGACACUCUGCUAAACAACUAAUUCCCACAACACUGUCAAACUUUUUACUAAGAAUGUAAUGCUAUUUAUCUUCUCAUCCUUCCUAUUAACUAUCUCCUUUUCUACUUAUGACUAUAACUUUGUUGCUUGUAUCUUUACGAUUUAUACUGGUAUUGAUUGUUUCCUGAUUGCUUAUUUGUGGCCUAUGACUAUCAUUAAGUAUUGUAUCAUUAAGUGUUAAAUUGAUGAACGUAACUUUUCUUUUAUGUACACUGAGAGCAUAUGCACCAAGACAAAUUCCUUGUGUGUCCAAUCACACUUGGCCAAUAAAAUUCUAUUCUAUUCUAUUCUAUUCUAUUCUAAAUUGUACCCUAUGACUAUCAUUAAGUGUUGUAAGUGUUGUACCUUAUGAUUCUUGAUGAAGAUAUCUUUUCUUUUAUGUACACUGAGAGCAUAUGCACCAAGACAAAUUCCUUGUGUGUCCAAUCACACUUGGUCAAUAAAAAAAUUCUAUUCUAUUCUAUUCUAUUCUAUUCUAUUCUAUUCUAUUCUAUUCUAUUCCUAGUAUGAUCUUUGUUGAUUACUUAUUUAGUAUCCUAUGACUAUCACUAAGUAUUGAAUCUUUUGAUUCAUUAUGAAAGCAUUUAUUAUGAUCAUGAUUUAUCACUUCAUCUUUUAUGUACACUGAGAACUUAUGUACCGAAGAUAUAUUCCUUGUGUAUCCAAUCACACUUGGUCAAUAAAAAAUUCUAUCUA
Molecule: long non-coding RNA, 1595 nt
Organism: Ahaetulla prasina
Lineage: Eukaryota; Metazoa; Chordata; Lepidosauria; Squamata; Colubridae
Exons: 2
Source: RefSeq, a predicted model, not a curated record